UCUGCACAAUGGUAAAAUGAACAGUCUCGCUCGUUCGAACGCCAGUAUUUAUGGCACGAAAGACGAUCUGUACGACAGACUGAAGCGUCACGCGUACCCUGGCAAAAAAGACAAAAGCGACAGUGAUAGCGAGGGUCAGUGACGGCGACGAGCGACGACGUUCUACCAGCGUAGAAUAUAAACAAUUAAAUUAAAAGCAAGCUCCCUUCCCCACCCACCCUACCCCUAUAUACGAACAACACGGAGCCCUCGUUGCUCCAUCGUCGAGUUCUAAUUAUUUAUUGUUCCCGAUAGACGAACGUUGUUGUUGCCCGGUUCGCGCAGUCUCAGGGAGCCGAGACAAUCGAAAAUGAUUUUUCGAACGCGACCGAUGGGCAAAGCGGGUUUGUUUAAUCGACGGUUAACCAACCGAGUCCUGGAACGAUGAUCCAUUGAUCGUCGCUUCGGCACCCGUCGGUCGAUUAAUCGCCCGGUGAAAUUCGGAUCGGGGUCACGCGAUCACGCGUCGCACAAACAUAGGAGACACAAACUCGAAUAACACAUACGAACGCACGUACGCGCGCAAAAGAAACGCGCGAGAAAAACAAACAUACAGAGGGAAAAAUAGAAAGAAAGACUACGCGCGAGGUUGUAAUUUUUUGUAAUUUAAUACCGUGUCUAUAGCCGUUAAGGACUUUAUUAUAUUAAUUAACUCCUACGAUUAACGGUGCGAGCGAGAGAAGAACGUGUGUGCAUGUAUGUUAAUACACCUAUACAUAAGCGGAUUUAUAUUUUGUUACUAUAGAUGCUCGUAUCAUACGCUGUAAAAUAAUGUUCACGUAGGCAGGCAAAGGCGCAGACGCGCAGAGAACGCGGCGGCGAGAAAAAGAACAGCGGGCAGAGAAAACGCCGGCGGAACGCGUUCGAACCGCGGCGUUUCUGUUUCGGAGAAACCGCGACACUGUUCCGCCAAUUGCCAAGAGGUCCCGGGUCGAAGUUAAUCGGCGAACUGUCUAUUUAACGCCUUUCUCGUUCCAGAGAGUCGACGCGGAGGAAACGACCUCCAGCGGCCAAUUAACUUCGACUCGAACUCCUGUAGUUAGCACUUCGGGGAAAAUCAAAAUCAACGACCAUCCGAGAGAACACCGCGAACAUGUACAUUCGACCGAGCCUACAACGCUGUUUUUUCACUUUUUACUGUAAAAACUUUAACAAACGGUUGUUUUCUUCUUUUUUUUUAUUAAUAAAAUGUAUUUCGAUAAUA
Molecule: non-coding RNA, 1243 nt
Organism: Megalopta genalis
Lineage: Eukaryota; Metazoa; Arthropoda; Insecta; Hymenoptera; Halictidae
Source: RefSeq, a predicted model, not a curated record